Salvia miltiorrhiza (redroot sage) is the source of this 673-nucleotide long non-coding RNA. RefSeq lists it as uncharacterized. The transcript is spliced from 2 exons. NCBI's taxonomy places the organism in Eukaryota, Viridiplantae, Streptophyta, Magnoliopsida, Lamiales, Lamiaceae. The record is from RefSeq and is a predicted model, not a curated record.
CUUGGGCCCUAGGUUUGAUUAAAUAAUGGGCUUGGGAAUAGGCUUUAGACUGGGUUUAGUUUCAUUAAGUGGGUUGGGCUUGAUUUAAUUGUGGGUUGAAUAAUUAGCCAAUAAACCACAACAAUAAUAUUUCUUUUACGGGCUGCAUUUGCAUAUAUUUUUACAAAUGAUAUUAUUAAAUUUUAUAUUUCAAUUUACAUUAUUAAUUUAAAUUUAGUUUUCAUUAAAUUUUGAACCCAAAUAUUUUUAUAAGAAAAGCUCUUUUAUAAUCUAUUAGACCAAUAAUUUUUAAAUGGCUAUAUGAUAAUAAAUUCUUAAGAUUUAAAUUACUAUUAUUAUUAUUAUUUUUAAAAUUCAAUUAGGCCCUUAUAUGUUAUUAUUUGAAUUUAUCUGACUAGGUGCGGCGCGACUAGGAUAUGAAUUUUAAUUGUAUUACUCAAGUUAGCAUUCAAGUUGAAGUUCAAGUUCAAGUUAAAUUUCCAGUUUCAGGUGAUUGAUAUCGGAGGCGCGUGGAGAGUCGAAUGGGCGCGUCGAAUCUAUUUAAAGAUAAAUGUUUCUUAAAACAUAUUAUGUUAUUUCAUGUGAUAUCUUUUGGUUAUGUAAACUCUGAAAUUCUAUACUAUUUGAGAUUUGUGUGUGAUUUAUUUAAAAAAAUGUUAUUAUAUUAUUUUAA